This 465-nucleotide ribosomal RNA is filed under the name uncultured bacterium. Its description in RNAcentral is "partial 16S ribosomal RNA". It matches the Rfam family "Bacterial small subunit ribosomal RNA", at positions 28 to 507 of the family's 1533-position model. The record is from RNAcentral.
GACGAACGCUGGCGGCGUGCUUAACACAUGCAAGUCGAACGGAAAGGCCCUGCUUGCAGGGUACUCGAGUGGCGAACGGGUGAGUAACACGUGGGUGAUCUGCCCUGCACUUCGGGAUAAGCCUGGUAAACUGGGUCUAAUACCGGAUAGGAGCCAUUUUUAGUGUGAUGGUUGGAAAGUUUUUUCGGUGUAGGAUGAGCUCGCGGCCUAUCAGCUUGUUGGGGGGGUAAUGGCCUACCAAGGCGGCGACGGGUAGCCGGCCUGAGAGGGUGGACGGCCACAUUGGGACUGAGAUACGGCCCAGACACCGACGGGAGGCAGCAGUGGGGAAUAUUGCACGAUGGGCGCAAGCCUGAUGCAGCGACGCCGCGUGGGGGAUGACGGCCUUCGGGUUGUAAACUCCUUUCGCUAGGGACGAAGCUUUUUGUGACGGUACCUAGAUAAGAAGCACCGGCUAACUACGUG